AUUUGUAUUUGACUGACAUUUUAUUAGAUAUGAUUUAAUUCCAGGAUCAAGGACAUUAAAUAUGAUUUAAUUCAAGGAUCAAGAACAGAUUGGUGACAGCUUUAUAAAGUCUGUGGCAAAUAUCACAGGGGAUAACAUAUACACUAAAUGACAUAGUCCAUAGUUUUCAUUUGUCUUAGUUUGUUUUAUUUGUAACACACCUACACCUUUG
RNAcentral lists this long non-coding RNA (211 nucleotides) under Mytilus galloprovincialis (Mediterranean mussel). Lineage: Eukaryota; Metazoa; Mollusca; Bivalvia; Mytilida; Mytilidae. The record is from RNAcentral.